RNAcentral lists this long non-coding RNA (664 nucleotides) under Falco tinnunculus (common kestrel). RNAcentral's name for it is "lncRNA (ENSFTIG00000011247.1)". Lineage: Eukaryota; Metazoa; Chordata; Aves; Falconiformes; Falconidae. The record is from RNAcentral.
CUUUUUCAGAGAAAACAAGUAAGAUUUUAAGGACUCCUUUUGGCAAAAGUUGGGCUUGAUCAGACCUGUCAUAUGUUCACAUAGUCAUGAGCAAGCACCAGGAAGGUGAUCUGGUGAUCCUGAAUGCUGGAAGGCUGGGCUGCUUGCAUUGUGUAAUAUCAUUACUGCUGACUGCUCCUGCUCCUGCUAGAGUCGAACUCUGGCCAAAAAGGUAGCAGAAGGGUUUAAACCUGGGACUCACCUCCAAAUGCUUUGACCAUCCUUGGCAGUGGCAUCACUUCCCUCUGUUGCACCUGAGUUGAAAAGAUCUGAGCUACAGAGAGACCUGUGAAGACGAGGCUUUCUGAUGAGGACAAAAGGACUGAACUCAUUAGAGCAUGGUGCUCAGAAAUGAUGUCUGGGUCUCAUAGUUCUUCUAUGGAAAACACAAGGGAUUUUGUCACCAAUAUUUUGGCUUUUGUGUCUCAUUAUGUAUCUAGUGCUUCUCAUGAACAAGGAGUUUAAGCAUCUGAUUCCGGAUUUUGGUUUCCAUUAGGUAGGAAGUCUGUAGUCAUGUAGGACUUAACCCUUAAGUCUGCAAAGGAGAGAUAUUCAACAUUUACCAAUAUUCAGAAUAAUCUUUUUUAUUUUCAUUUCACUAGGGGACUGCAAUUUUUACUUUCUC